This 481-nucleotide ribosomal RNA is filed under the name uncultured bacterium. Its description in RNAcentral is "partial 16S ribosomal RNA". It matches the Rfam family "Bacterial small subunit ribosomal RNA", at positions 28 to 507 of the family's 1533-position model. The record is from RNAcentral.
GAUGAACGCUGGCGGCGUGCUUAACACAUGCCAGUCGAGCGAAGCACUUUAUUUGAUUUCCUUCGGGACUGAUUAUUUUGUGACUGAGUGGCGGACGGGUGAGUAACGCGUGGGUAACCUGCCUUGUACAGGGGGAUAACAGUUGGAAACGGCUGCUAAUACCGCAUAAGCGCACAGCAUCGCAUGAUGCAGUGUGAAAAACUCCGGUGGUAUAAGAUGGACCCGCGUUGGAUUAGCUAGUUGGUGAGGUAACGGCCCACCAAGGCGACGAUCCAUAGCCGACCUGAGAGGGUGACCGGCCACAUUGGGACUGAGACACGGCCCAAACUCCUACGGGAGGCAGCAGUGGGGAAUAUUGCACAAUGGGCGAAAGCCUGAUGCAGCGACGCCGCGUGAGCGAAGAAGUAUUUCGGUAUGUAAAGCUCUAUCAGCAGGGAAGAUAAUGACGGUACCUGACUAAGAAGCACCGGCUAAAUACGUG